GACUUUCCUCCUGGUUUGCCUGGGACUGAGUGGUUUCCUGGGUUUGCAGGACUUUGGUGCUAAAACUGGGUAAGU
RNAcentral lists this microRNA precursor (75 nucleotides) under Tursiops truncatus (common bottlenose dolphin). RNAcentral's name for it is "miRNA (ENSTTRG00000024289.1)". Lineage: Eukaryota; Metazoa; Chordata; Mammalia; Artiodactyla; Delphinidae. The record is from RNAcentral.